RNAcentral lists this ribosomal RNA (700 nucleotides) under Staphylococcus aureus. RNAcentral's name for it is "partial 23S ribosomal RNA". It matches the Rfam family "Bacterial large subunit ribosomal RNA", at positions 1529 to 2226 of the family's 2925-position model. Lineage: Bacteria; Bacillati; Bacillota; Bacilli; Caryophanales; Staphylococcaceae. The record is from RNAcentral.
GUAUUAGGCAAAUCCGGUACUCGUUAAGGCUGAGCUGUGAUGGGGAGAAGACAUUGUGUCUUCGAGUCGUUGAUUUCACACUGCCGAGAAAAGCCUCUAGAUAGAAAAUAGGUGCCCGUACCGCAAACCGACACAGGUAGUCAAGAUGAGAAUUCUAAGGUGAGCGAGCGAACUCUCGUUAAGGAACUCGGCAAAAUGACCCCGUAACUUCGGGAGAAGGGGUGCUCUUUAGGGUUAACGCCCAGAAGAGCCGCAGUGAAUAGGCCCAAGCGACUGUUUAUCAAAAACACAGGUCUCUGCUAAACCGUAAGGUGAUGUAUAGGGGCUGACGCCUGCCCGGUGCUGGAAGGUUAAGAGGAGUGGUUAGCUUCUGCGAAGCUACGAAUCGAAGCCCCAGUAAACGGCGGCCGUAACUAUAACGGUCCUAAGGUAGCGAAAUUCCUUGUCGGGUAAGUUCCGACCCGCACGAAAGGCGUAACGAUUUGGGCACUGUCUCAACGAGAGACUCGGUGAAAUCAUAGUACCUGUGAAGAUGCAGGUUACCCGCGACAGGACGGAAAGACCCCGUGGAGCUUUACUGUAGCCUGAUAUUGAAAUUCGGCACAGCUUGUACAGGAUAGGUAGGAGCCUUUGAAACGUGAGCGCUAGCUUACGUGGAGGCGCUGGUGGGAUACUACCCUAGCUGUGUUGGCUUUCUAAC